CUCAGUAAGCAAACUAGUUUUUCUUAUAGAAAAUACAUACAUACUUAUACAUAAUGCAAUGGAUGAUAUGCCAUGAUCUUUUGGAAAUACUGUAAAAUAAAUUCAAAAAAAUCUCUUUCUGUCACUUUCAAACUUUCUCAUUUUCUUUCGAUGAAAUAUGUAUCCUGCAAUGUGGCACUUUGUGCUGUGCGUGGCACUUUGCACCAUGCGUGGCACUUUGCGGCGCUCUGGCCCUCAAGAGGUGGCCCCCGCAUAGUCUCAAGAGGUGGCCCCCACACAACUUCAAGAGGUGGCCCCCAAUGCAAAAUCUCAUAAAACAGAAAUUCCGUUUGCUAAAAUCCACUUUCUCAUUCAUAGAAAACUCAAUGCAUUUUCGUGCUCAUGCCAAUGAACCAUCACACAUACAUAUGCCCAUGUACAUAAUCACGCCCAUUACAUAACAACACAUCACAUAAACACAUGAGCAGAGACAUAUAAAUCCAUAUUCGUACAUAUCAAAAUAGGACAUCCGCCUUGGCCGUACAGCAGAGCUCUCACCAAGAAACACCUCUUUUCUGACAAAUGCAACGUAAUAUGAUCACGUCCUGCUUAAUAACACAAAGCAUAGAGGCUGCUCUAAUACUUUUCUAACUUAGCCAAAGUUGUUGAAGAUAUAAGUACUUUUAAGUGCUCAGUAAUCUUUAUUAAAUUAGCAUGAUUGGACAUAAUUAAAAAAUGAAAAUUGAAUCAUUAUGAUGAUUGAAUUAGGUAGUUUGAUUGGUGUUAUUUUGUCUAAUUAUCAAGGAGAACAUUCAAUUAUAUACAAUAUGUCCUUCCUAUUUUCUCUUUUAAUUAAAUCAUAAAAAGACUUGCAAUAUUGAUUAUGUAUCUGUUAUGUUGGUUAUUGAAGUGAAUUAUAGUUGUUUUCGUGAUUGUCAAAUAUUGUCUUUGUAACUUAUUUAUUUUUUAUUUAUGAAAUCAAUGGGGAUUUUGCUCUUAUUGAUGGAUGUUGCUGGGUACUAAGAACUGAUGGUCGUAUUAAUUAAUCAGUAUAAGUUAGUUGAAAGUUCAAUGUUCAUGCACUUUUGAGCUACAUAAGGCAAGGAAAAUUGAGUGACUUUAUGUGAUGUAAUGUGACACUAUUCAAUUAAGCAACUCUACUUUUUAGUGAUGGACACAAAUGAAACUAGUGGACUUGCAUUAGCUAGAUGAUAAUUAAAAGGCCAAGAUUAUAUCUUUAACACCCCAGUCCGAAAUCCAAGGGCAAAUAUGUCCACAACUCACAUAUGAUUUAAAUAACUCUUUACAAACAAUAAAAUCCGAGCUUCAAAUACAAAAGCCAGCGGAAUAACUUAAAAAUUUAGCCAAACCAUCUACCAUCUUUAACUUGUCACUCAUCACGAAUCAAUCCUGGAUCUACUAUCCUCAAUUUAAAUCCAUCUUCUCACUCAUCGCGAAUCAAUCCUGACUUCUGGAAACUGAAUCACAAUAAACUAUAACGAGUACAAAACCCAGUAAGCAAACUAGUUUUUUUUAUACCAAAAUACAUCCAUACUUAUACAUAAUGCAAUGGAUGAUAUGCCAUGAUCUUUUGGAAAUAUUGUAAAAUAAAUUCAUAAAAAUCUAUUUCUGUCGCUUUCAAACUUUCUCAUUUUCUUUCGAUGAAAUACAUAUCCUGCAAUGUGGCACUUUGUGCUGUACGUGGUACUAUGCACCAUGCGUGGCACUUUGCUGCGCUCUGGCCCUCAAGAGGUGGCCCCCGCAUAGUCUCAAGAGGUGGCCCCCACACAACUUCAAGAGGUGGCCCCCAAUGCAAAAUCUCAUAAAACAGAAAUUCCGUUUGCUAAAAUCCACUUUCUCAUUCAUAGAAAACUCAAUGCAUUUUCGUGCUCAUGCCAAUGAACCAUCACACAUACAUAUGCCCAUGUACAUAAUCACGCCCAUUACAUAACAACACAUCACAUAAACACAUGAGCAGAGACAUAUAAAUCCAUAUUCGUACAUAUCAAAAUAGGCUUUUCAUACAAGUCAGACAUAUAUAUUAUUUAUUGUGAUUCGUUUUAAAGUCUAGUUCACUUACCUC
This 2062-nucleotide long non-coding RNA is filed under the name Citrus sinensis (sweet orange). RNAcentral describes it as "long non-coding RNA (CSIN_LNC005045)". The record is from RNAcentral. Lineage: Eukaryota; Viridiplantae; Streptophyta; Magnoliopsida; Sapindales; Rutaceae.